This 161-nucleotide ribosomal RNA is filed under the name Crepidiastrum linguifolium. RNAcentral describes it as "Crepidiastrum linguaefolium 5.8S rRNA". It matches the Rfam family "5.8S ribosomal RNA". Rfam says of the family: 5.8S ribosomal RNA (5.8S rRNA) is a component of the large subunit of the eukaryotic ribosome. It is transcribed by RNA polymerase I as part of the 45S precursor that also contains 18S and 28S rRNA. The record is from RNAcentral. Lineage: Eukaryota; Viridiplantae; Streptophyta; Magnoliopsida; Asterales; Asteraceae.
AAAAACGACUCUCGGCAACGGAUAUCUCGGCUCACGCAUCGAUGAAGAACGUAGCAAAAUGCGAUACUUGGUGUGAAUUGCAGAAUCCCGUGAAUCAUCGAGUUUUUGAACGCAAGUUGCGCCCAAAACCAUCCGGUUGAGGGCACGCCUGCCUGGNCGUC